CAGCCGCCGCGGGAAUACGGAGGGGGCUAGCGUUGUUCGGAAUUACUGGGCGUAAAGCGCACGUAGGCGGCUUGGUAAGUUAGAGGUGAAAGCCUGGAGCUCAACUCCAGAAUUGCCUUUAAGACUGCCGAGCUAGUAGGUGAGAGAGGUAAGUGGAAUUCCGAGUGUAGAGGUGAAAUUCGUAGAUAUUCGGAAGAACACCAGUGGCGAAGGCGGCUUACUGGCUCAUUCUAGACGCUGAGGUGCGAAAGCGUGGGGAGCAAACAGGAUUAGAUACCCCGGUAGUCCCUGUCUCUUAUAA
This 301-nucleotide ribosomal RNA is filed under the name uncultured bacterium. RNAcentral's name for it is "partial 16S ribosomal RNA". It matches the Rfam family "Bacterial small subunit ribosomal RNA", at positions 509 to 809 of the family's 1533-position model. The record is from RNAcentral.